AUGUGAAACCUGUCGACACGAAAUAUUCAAUACCAGGAAAUUUCAAAGUUUGAUUCACGAUUCUUGUUACUAGAUCGAGGUUCAUUUGUCGAUAGCUGGAAUUAUAUAUACUUGUAUCAAAUGACAACUAGUGACAUUAUAAACCGCGUGUAUUACCUUCCCCGUUAACUGAAAUUAGGAAAAAUCCGUUCUGAUGAAAUGCUGAAAAAUGUCAAAAUAACCAAAACGCCCAUUAUAUUAGGCUAAAUAUAUUUAGAGUUGAGAGUUUUUUUGUGUUUCAUACUAGAGUAGUUGGUUAGUUGGUUAAAACAAAAAAAAAAAGUUGUGUUUGCGUGAGGAACCAAGUACGACUUUUCUGCGAGAUGGGGAACGCUCAGAUGCCUGUAAUUCGGCAGGGAAACGACAGAUGGACCUAAAACUUAAUUAACAGUCGGAAGAACAAUUUUAUAUUGAGAAGUCCAACAAAUAAUACUUUGCGUAUAAUUUUCAAAAACAGUUUAUAUUCGUAAUUACUAUAUAACUUAAUGUUUUAUUCCAUUUAAGCCAAUUCCACUGGUAAUAAAUUCUCCCACUUUUAUGUCUCUGUAUUGUUGAACGUUAAAAAGAAACAACAAAAAAAAGUGUGCUCGCGAGAUUACGUCAAAUGGAAUGUGGCAGGGCGCUAUUGUUUUCAUUUAAACAACUCAUUUCGGAGAAAAUAAAAUGAUAAUUUUGUUUUUAAGUGUUUAAUUAACACGUCUCAGGUUGGUUUGGUGCAACAAAGUUGCAGACACGUAAAGCAAAUAAUGUUUAAAAUGUAUUGUAGGAUAAACCGCGGGAAAUGCCCCGGGAAUCAUAGUCCUUUUAAGAGGGGCACCGUGCACGCAUCAGUAAGCAUUGCAUUGUGGCCUUUGUUUAUUGUGGCAGCGGAGGCGGAGCCCACCGCCGAGCAAGCAGAAGCUAUUCAGGGUGAGGGGUCUAUUGUGCGGAAGCUUUGGGAAAAGCGAGGAACGCUGUGUCCUCUGUGCUGCAGAUUGCCCUGCUAGUUUUGUGCAAGUGCUGGAGUAGGGCAAGACGAGUUAACUGUAGAGGGACCCAGAUUGAUAACGCCUGAUUUUUUCAUUUUGGCAAUUUAGAGGCAGAUUUGCAAAGUUCUCUUUUUUACCUCUUUACAUUGCAUUUGAGUAUCACACGAGCAACGGGUAGCUGUGCUCAUAAAUGGACGAUAGUGGAAGGGUAAUUAGUUUAAGCAGAGAGGCACUUCUUAGCAGCUGCGCCUUGGCAAUCAUGGGAAGGAUGGAGUCUGGCUGUUUCGGGAUGCUUCCGUGCCUCUUUCUGCUAUAGUCUCCCAGGGCCAGGCAGGUGCGGGACGUAGUGCAUUGUUGUACCAUCUCCUCCCAAUAUUGCACUCGUCCCGGCCUCCCAGACCUUUGGGAAACCCCUUCACCUCUGCAGGGGUGAAGAAGGGCAACUUUUAAUUAAUUUUGUUUUGAGACAUUUCCUGGAACACCUGCCAUGAAACGAAUGGUUCGAAAAACAGAACUAAGGAGUCAUUACGUCAUUGUGUGGGGGGCGGGGCACAGAUGGUUCAGUUUUGUAAACAAGUGAAUUGAAUGAACUUUUGCAGUUUGUUUUAUAAUCCGAUUGUAACGUAGAUUGGCUGAUUUUAAAUUCAGGAUCUGUUUAUCCAUUAAUUAAGCAGCACUUGUUUAUUAAUAUGGUAAAUUAGCAGCUAACAGGAAAACGGUGCACAUAAAAUUAAAAAGAAAUAGUAAAAAAAAACAACAUCAUCAUGUCAUGUGGAAUACAGUGUAGACAAUGUUAAAUUUGGUUUAGUAAAUGUACCGAUGAUAUGCUACUAGGACAUUGUCUUGUUGAAGACAGGUUAUUAUCGUAGGAUGAAUGCAAACUUAGAAAUAGUACAGUAAAUGUUUUUAAAUGCAUUAUUAUUACCAUUUCGCUUAGGAAGCUGAUUCCGUGAUCUGAGAAACACUAAUGCUGUCCAGUUCCAAUGUCCCACAAAGCAACAGGUAUUUCUUUCAUUGUGAUCCUACGCUGUUGUGGACAGGCACCGUCAGGCUAGUCCAGCAAACUCAUCAGUAACUGGGUGAUUCCGCCAACUCCCACCAUCCCCGUCUGACUGCUGGUUGGCAGACUGCCACAGCUGUGGGCCUCUGCCAGCUCCACCAGAGCUCUUCUCUGUGGCCUUCAAAGCCUGGAUGAGGUGGCUGGGCUUUGCGGGUAACUGUGGAAUCAGCCCGGAACACAAAGUGCCUUUUGGGGUCUUAGCCCCAAUGAUCUCCAAUGAGAAAUUCAAAAAUGGCAUAAAUUGCAUGAAUGGCAUUUUUCUGCUGUUACAGGAAGCAGAUCAUCUGAACAUACAUCUGAACUGAACAUUCUUUUCCCUGUAGAUUUCAUCCUAUAAACAACCUGGGGCAGAAUUUCCUAAUCCUGUCUGGAGCAACUACUAAAAAUGCUGCUUUUUUCUUUCCAAAACCACUCCUUUAUCUUUAAAAAAAGCGUAAAUAACCUGGAUGUCGCUUUUGAUUGACUGUGGGAUUGUGACAUAUGUGUGUUUCUGCCAGCUAAGUAUAAUAUUUGGCAAAUUUUUGGCCCUCAAAUUAAAAUAAUAAUAAUAAUAUGCAGUGUAAAUGGGGCAGCAUAGUGAUGCAGUGGUUAACAUGCUGAGAGUAGUUGGAGUUACCAAAGUGUAUGAUGUGUGUGUGCCCUGUAAUGGGUUAUCGCCCCAUCCUGGGUUGUUCCCUGCCUUGUGCCCUGUAUUGGGUUAUCGCCCCAUCCUGGGUUGUUCCCUGCCUUGUGCCCUGUAAUGGGUUAUCGCCCCAUCCUGGGUUGUUCCCUGCUUUGUGCCCUGUAAUGGGUUAUCGCCCCAUCCUGGGUUGUUCCCUGCUUUGUGCCCUGUAAUGGGUUAUCGCCCCAUCCUGGGUUGUUCCCUGCUUUGUACCCUGUAAUGGGUUAUCACCCCAUUCUGGGUUGUUCACUGCUUUGUGCCCUGUAAUGGGUUAUCGCCCCAUCCUGGGUUGUUCCCUGCCUUGUGCCCUGUAAUGGGUUAUCGCCCCAUCCUGGGUUGUUCCCUGUCUUGUGCCCUGUAAUGGGUUAUCGCCCCAUCCUGGGUUGUUCCCUGCCUUGUGCCCUGUAAUGGGUUAUCGCCCCAUCCUGGGUUGUUCCCUGCCUUGUGCCUGUAGGCCCCUGUGAUCCCAAACAGGACAAGCAGUUACAGAAAAUGGAUGGAUGGACACAGCCUAAAUAUGAUCAGCUGCACUCUGACAUUGUUUGAGCAAAUAUAAUUAAUCACUUAUUUUUUAAAAAAAGAAAGAAUGUGGUAUUCAAAAGGAAGAACAAAUAAAAGGGGUAAUAUCAGCAUACAAGGUGGAUCCUGAGGUUCAGGGUGAAAGAAACCAUUCAAAUGACAACUGUGGGACUGUGUUUUGCAGGCAUGCUGACCAGAGAUGAUUUUUUUUUUCUACAGCUAUUUGUGCAUGUAAAGUAUCACUCGUCGCUGCAUUCGCUAAAGGGCGGCUAGAAUGUAAGAAGCUCGAUACCAAACUUGCAGUUAGUUAUUGUAUUUAUCUGCCUGGAUGUUGGUGAAUUACAAGAGAACAAUAUAGAACAUAAUCCAUGCUAUGAACUUUUUUGUCAACAACAUUCGAUUUAUGCAAUGAGUACAGCGAUUGAACAUAAAAACUCCAGUUCUGAAACAG
Long non-coding RNA from Brienomyrus brachyistius, 3698 nucleotides. RefSeq lists it as uncharacterized. NCBI's taxonomy places the organism in Eukaryota, Metazoa, Chordata, Actinopteri, Osteoglossiformes, Mormyridae. The transcript is spliced from 2 exons. The record is from RefSeq and is a predicted model, not a curated record.